GUGUAGUAAGUUAGCAGCCCAUACACUAAAAUUAGAACAAUGCAGAGUAGGUUAGCAUGACCACCACAUAAGGAUGACAUGCAAAUUUGCAAAACAUUUCAUAAAAAA
This is a small nuclear RNA of Nycticebus coucang (slow loris), 108 nucleotides long. The record is from RefSeq and is a predicted model, not a curated record. NCBI's taxonomy places the organism in Eukaryota, Metazoa, Chordata, Mammalia, Primates, Lorisidae.